UCUUCUUCUUCUUCUUCUUCUUCUUCUUCUUCUUCUUCUCCUCCUCCUCCUCCUUCCUCCUCCUCCUGCUCCUCCUUCUCCUCCUCCUCCUCCUCCUCCUCCUCCUCCUCCUCCUCCUUCUACAGAUCGAAAGGAAUAUUUAAUACUCCACUUCAUCUAGUCAUGAUCUUUUUAAACAUUAGACGCCAUCCGCUUCUCUCUCUCUCUCUCUCUCUCUCUCUCUAGCCCUCCCCCCAAUAACUUAUCUAUUUUUAUAUAUAACCGCGUUGGUAUAGCUUCUCCAAACCUCCCACAAACCCCUCCCCCCCUCAUUCCCUUACCUUUCAUGGUGACGCGGACACACACACACACACACACACACACACACACACACACACACACACACACACACACACACACACACACACACACACACACACACACACACACACACACACACACACACACACACACACACACACACACACCUCACCUGGUCUCGGGGCGUCUUUCUGGUCAGGUAAUAAUUAAAAAACUCCCCUGCCCAGGUAAGCACGGCCCGCCAGGUGAAGGUGUGCACGGCCAGGUGAUCCAGGUGUGAAUUGCCAACAAAGGAAUGACGAUAAUCUUUACGUGUACAAAGAUAUUUAUAUAUGACUACCCCCAUAACCCCCCCAAGCCCUCCCGAGCCCCCUAUCUGUGUGUAAGGUGACUGAUUGGUUCCGUGUCGACAGGUGUACAUAGGUGAAGAUCAAGGUGAAGUGGCUGUUUACCUGUGUUGUUGAUGUUAUUGUUUACUGUAUUCAUUUUGAUCUAUUAUUUUUUUUCUUAUUUCUUUGAGCGUAAGUCUAAAUAUAUAACUAAAAUAUUCAAUCAAAAUAUUAACCACCUAUUAUCUUUGUUAUCAUUAUCAUCAUCAUUACGAGGACUAUGUGAUAAUUUUUGCAUUUUCUUUUUUUUUUUUUUUUUUUUUUAGGUCUACAAACAGUCUGGUAAUUUAUUUGUUCAUGUAAAAACAUCUCUAUAACACAACAUAUCCAUUAGAGAAAUAGUUUAUUGUCAUUAUUUAACAUUACUCCUAUUAUUAUCGUCAUUAUUCUUUGUCAUUAGCACCAUUACCCCCUCCGCCGCUGCUCUGCCCAGCUGUACAUAAGAUAUAUUACUCCUUUAUUAAUAAUUUAAAUAAAUGUCAUAUUGAAAUAUAAACACAAAUGA
Long non-coding RNA from Portunus trituberculatus (swimming crab), 1194 nucleotides. RefSeq lists it as uncharacterized. NCBI's taxonomy places the organism in Eukaryota, Metazoa, Arthropoda, Malacostraca, Decapoda, Portunidae. The record is from RefSeq and is a predicted model, not a curated record. The transcript is spliced from 2 exons.